RNAcentral lists this ribosomal RNA (443 nucleotides) under uncultured bacterium. RNAcentral's name for it is "bacterial SSU rRNA". It matches the Rfam family "Bacterial small subunit ribosomal RNA", at positions 355 to 796 of the family's 1533-position model. The record is from RNAcentral.
UAGGGAAUAUUGGACAAUGGUUGCAAGACUGAUCCAGCCAUGCCGCGUGCAGGAAGAAGGCCUUCUGGGUCGUAAACUGCUUUUCCCCGGGGAUAAAAUACUCGUGCGCGAGGAAUUGAAGGUACCGGGGGAAUAAGCCACGGCUAACUACGUGCCAGCAGCCGCGGUAAUACGUAGGUGGCAAGCGUUGUCCGGAUUUAUUGGGUUUAAAGGGUGCGUAGGCGGCCCUGUAAGUCAGUGGUGAAAUACGGCAGCUCAACUGUCGAGGUGCCAUUGAUACUGCGGGGCUUGAGUGUUGACGAGGCAGGCGGAAUUGACGGUGUAGCGGUGAAAUGCUUAGAUAUCGUCAAGAACACCGAUAGCGAAGGCAGCCUGCCAGGCAACAACUGACGCUGAGGCACGAAAGUGCGGGGAUCAAACAGGAUUAGAUACCCGCGUAGUCC